This 1459-nucleotide ribosomal RNA is filed under the name Vibrio sp. Its description in RNAcentral is "bacterial SSU rRNA". It matches the Rfam family "Bacterial small subunit ribosomal RNA". Lineage: Bacteria; Pseudomonadati; Pseudomonadota; Gammaproteobacteria; Vibrionales; Vibrionaceae. The record is from RNAcentral.
GCCUUGGCGGGGGCCUAACAAUGCAAGUCGAGCGGAAACGAGUUAACUGAACCUUCGGGGGACGUUAACGGCGUCGAGCGGCGGACGGGUGAGUAAUGCCUAGGAAAUUGCCCUGAUGUGGGGGAUAACCAUUGGAAACGAUGGCUAAUACCGCAUGAUGCCUACGGGCCAAAGAGGGGGACCUUCGGGCCUCUCGCGUCAGGAUAUGCCUAGGUGGGAUUAGCUAGUUGGUGAGGUAAGGGCUCACCAAGGCGACGAUCCCUAGCUGGUCUGAGAGGAUGAUCAGCCACACUGGAACUGAGACACGGUCCAGACUCCUACGGGAGGCAGCAGUGGGGAAUAUUGCACAAUGGGCGCAAGCCUGAUGCAGCCAUGCCGCGUGUGUGAAGAAGGCCUUCGGGUUGUAAAGCACUUUCAGUCGUGAGGAAGGUUUAGGGGUUAAUAGCUGAUUUAUUUGACGUUAGCGACAGAAGAAGCACCGGCUAACUCCGUGCCAGCAGCCGCGGUAAUACGGAGGGUGCGAGCGUUAAUCGGAAUUACUGGGCGUAAAGCGCAUGCAGGUGGUUUGUUAAGUCAGAUGUGAAAGCCCGGGGCUCAACCUCGGAAUAGCAUUUGAAACUGGCAGACUAGAGUACUGUAGAGGGGGGUAGAAUUUCAGGUGUAGCGGUGAAAUGCGUAGAGAUCUGAAGGAAUACCGGUGGCGAAGGCGGCCCCCUGGACAGAUACUGACACUCAGAUGCGAAAGCGUGGGGAGCAAACAGGAUUAGAUACCCUGGUAGUCCACGCCGUAAACGAUGUCUACUUGGAGGUUGUGGCCUUGAGCCGUGGCUUUCGGAGCUAACGCGUUAAGUAGACCGCCUGGGGAGUACGGUCGCAAGAUUAAAACUCAAAUGAAUUGACGGGGGCCCGCACAAGCGGUGGAGCAUGUGGUUUAAUUCGAUGCAACGCGAAGAACCUUACCUACUCUUGACAUCCAGAGAACUUUUCAGAGAUGGAUUGGUGCCUUCGGGAACUCUGAGACAGGUGCUGCAUGGCUGUCGUCAGCUCGUGUUGUGAAAUGUUGGGUUAAGUCCCGCAACGAGCGCAACCCUUAUCCUUGUUUGCCAGCGAGUAAUGUCGGGAACUCCAGGGAGACUGCCGGUGAUAAACCGGAGGAAGGUGGGGACGACGUCAAGUCAUCAUGGCCCUUACGAGUAGGGCUACACACGUGCUACAAUGGCGCAUACAGAGGGCGGCCAACUUGCGAAAGUGAGCGAAUCCCAAAAAGUGCGUCGUAGUCCGGAUUGGAGUCUGCAACUCGACUCCAUGAAGUCGGAAUCGCUAGUAAUCGUGGAUCAGAAUGCCACGGUGAAUACGUUCCCGGGCCUUGUACACACCGCCCGUCACACCAUGGGAGUGGGCUGCAAAAGAAGUAGGUAGUUUAACCUUCGGGGGGACGCUUACCACUUGUGUUCAACGU